UCGAGAAUCUUUCACAAUGGGGGCAACCCUGAUGGAGCGACGCCGCGUGGAGGAUAAGGUCUUCGGAUUGUAAACUCCUGUCAUGCGAGAACAAGGUUGCAGGGCUAACACCGCUGCAAAUUGAUGGUACCGCAAGAGGAAGAGACGGCUAACUCUGUGCCAGCAGCCGCGGUAAUACAGAGGUCUCAAGCGUUGUUCGGAAUCACUGGGCGUAAAGGGUGCGUAGGCUGCGCCGUAAGUCAGAUGUGAAAGCCCGGGGCUCAACCCCGGAAUUGCAUCCGAUACUGCGGUGCUCGAGUGCUGGAGAGGAGGCUAGAAUUCACGGUGUAGCAGUGAAAUGCGUAGAUAUCGUGAGGAAUACCAAAGGCGUAGGCAGGCCUCUGGACAGCAACUGACGCUGAGGCACGAAGGCCAGGGUAGCGAACGGG
This 428-nucleotide ribosomal RNA is filed under the name uncultured bacterium. RNAcentral's name for it is "bacterial SSU rRNA". It matches the Rfam family "Bacterial small subunit ribosomal RNA", at positions 355 to 776 of the family's 1533-position model. The record is from RNAcentral.